Microcebus murinus (gray mouse lemur) is the source of this 333-nucleotide non-coding RNA. The record is from RefSeq and is a predicted model, not a curated record. Lineage: Eukaryota; Metazoa; Chordata; Mammalia; Primates; Cheirogaleidae.
AGCUGAUCAUCCUAGGAGAGCCUGAAGUAAAUAAAGAAGCAAGGAAGUUGGAUUCUCCAUGGAUGUGCUAGCAGUUGGUAGAGACUGCCCACAGUGAUGGCUCCCACAUCUGGACUCUUCAGCACCAUAAGACUCCUUUAUGUUCGCCCCCAAGAAAGACUGUGAGAUCCUGGAAGAUAUUGACUGAGCACCUAUUAUGUGCCAGACACUGUACUAAGUGCUGAGGUUAUAACAGUAAACAAGUUGAUCCAAAACAACGUCACGAGCAGGAAAGUUGACUCAAGAGGACCCAUAAAUCUAACCAGUAUGCCAUCCUGUCCUGACCUGCUCCCA